GAAAAAGGUAGCCGUGCCCCAGCUCACAGGACUUCGGUCCCAAGCAGGAGAGCAGCCUCAUGAAUAGGAAGCUUUCAACGCCAAGCAGGCUUUCGAGGCAGUGGCCACAUCUUCAGAGGAGCACACAGUAAGGUUUUGAUGGGAGUGAUAAAACCAGGCAGUAAAGUAAUGUCAGCUCUCUAUAACCACAGCUGCUGUUACUCACAGGAGGGCCGCUUUGAUGUUGUUCAGACGCUCGAAGAGUGUCUCUGGGAUCACAUUCAUGAGUGACGGGGCAGAUAAAAGAAAUACGAACAGUACACAGUCACUAACAGACGUCACUACAUGUCCGUCAGGCACAAUCAGCAUUGUGAACACACGUACAUUAUCAUUAAAUCAUUGGGCAGACACUCAGUGAAUAUGUGGUGGUGGUAAUACAUGUGAUGCAAGUACAUGUAAAAUGCUAAAUGGAUACAUGAGAGACUUAAUAUAUAGACUAUAAUGAUGUCUGCCUAUUAUCAGUCUGACUCAAUCACGUAGUUCGGGAGCACUUUUUAAUACAAUGAGCCUUUUUACUAUACUACACUAUAGAAGUACCUUGUUUAGAAGUUCCUUGCACAGCCUGUAGGUGCAGAGAAGGUAGUGCUGCUAGUCAAAACAAAAAGAUGAUCUAAGACUUAAAUGUCACAUCUGAUUUGCCAAGGACCUGGAACAAACUCUUGAUUGGCUCCAGGCAAGGUGGUUUCAGAUGAAAUAUCAGAUAACAACUUUGGAGCUGGGGGUAAACAAGAUAAAUCCACUGUGGAACCUAUAAACAUUACACAACUCUUGUAGAACAGGGCAGCUCCCAGAGUGCGUAACCGCUUGAAUGUCAGGCAAGCUGGUGCUGGGAAAAAGAAAGAGAGUGAGGACAGAGGGAGACAGAGACAGAGAGGGAGAAGGUUGUGGGUGAAAUGCGGGUGACUCUGCCUGACCUGCCUCAGGGUCAGAUGUAAAAAGGUUUCUGAACUGAGUGCUGUGCAGUCUCCCAUGGCCUGGUGUUCUCAAGGACGGCUGAUAUUUAACCCAUGAGGCUGCCUCUCAGGUCAGCAGAGACUCCUGGAGCCCUGCUGCUCUAAUUUCAGUGCAUUUAAAGAGAUUGUACUUCAUUUCAUUUUGUAGAUAUUUCUUUAUGACAGUGGAUAACAUUGUGCUGUCUGUUAAUCUGUUAUGCCAGUUUAGCUUGUGAUACAGUUGCUUGUGUCCGACAGGGGGAUGAUCUGUGCUUUGGUUUCAUCUGAUUUGAUAAGAUGUCAGGUUAUACAUAAAAUGAAGACUUAAAGGAUUGGUUUAAAGAAAAAAAGAAGGGAAUCAUGUUUGGAUGCACAUCUAAACAUUUUUAUUUUAUUUUACUCUUUAUGUGUGUGUCAAGCUGUGGAAGUGACUUUCCCCCAACCUGUUCCCUGUUACAGAACAAAAUAAAGGUACUUUAUUCUCUUCUUUUGUAUGGCUGAGAAAAGGUA
Notolabrus celidotus (New Zealand spotty) is the source of this 1481-nucleotide long non-coding RNA. RefSeq lists it as uncharacterized. The record is from RefSeq and is a predicted model, not a curated record. Lineage: Eukaryota; Metazoa; Chordata; Actinopteri; Labriformes; Labridae. The transcript is spliced from 2 exons.